Molecule: long non-coding RNA, 720 nt
Organism: Myxocyprinus asiaticus (Chinese sucker)
Lineage: Eukaryota; Metazoa; Chordata; Actinopteri; Cypriniformes; Catostomidae
Exons: 2
Source: RefSeq, a predicted model, not a curated record
UUUGCCAUUUCUGAUGUACCUUUUAUCGGUUAGAAUGCCCUUAAAAGGAAUUGCUUUCUGUCUAUCUUAGAACGAAACUUGCUGCAGUCCAAUAGGCGUGCAUUUUUGCUGCUUUAAGACAGACUGCAGGGCCUCUUCCUGUGGUUUGCACCAUGUGGCUUAAAAAGUGUUAAAAGGCAACAACUUCUUUGUCAUUUCUCUGUUGUUUCCGGGAUCAAGUAGGCAGAGAACCGAUUGAACAAAUUGCUGUAUAAUGAACAUUUGGACCACAUGGAGAGAGAGAGAGAGGAAGUACGACUGGAGCACAAAGAGAAGAGGCGGGAACUUCAGAGGUACAGUGCAGUCACUCAUAAAGUAGACAGCACUACUAAAGGUUUCUACACGGUGUAGUGUUUCCUACUUUAUGGAUGAGUGUACUGUUUGCUGCGAUGGACAAUCAUAAUCUUGUGGACCUCGACUGAUGCUGAAUAUUCUUGAAAUGUACUGAAAUGAAAUCAAUUUACUGUAUGAAAAAUGAAUAAAGAUUGUGAUUUAUGCUAUUGUGAUUAUUAUAUGUAUUGUGACUGUGCUCUGCUGAAUGACUGAUUGUAAUAAAACUAAUGAUUGUAAUGUUUUUUAUUUUACAAUCAAUCAAGUAUCUACAUGAAAACAUUAAUGUAUAUUGAACAACUUUUAAAUCAUAUGUGUAUUAUAUUGACAUUAAAAUGAAAGGAAAUAAGA